CUUUUCCCGCGGCGAAGCUGGCCCGCCCCGUGCCCCGCUCUUUCUGACGCUACCCACCCUCACUCUAGUGGCGUAAAAUAAGUCUCAGUCAGGGACCACGUUUUGGACGCGCUGUUGGAAUUGUAAAGCUUGCCGAAGCUGCACGCCUGCGCGGUUAGACCUCCCACGCCUUUGUUGACGCUUCCAGUUUGGAAGCCAGAUUUACACCCCUGCCUUUCUCCGCUCCUCCUGCUGGGCGCCAUCUUGUCUUCUCCUAGCACACUUUGUAUUGUUCGAAGUUGAGAGAGAAGGAGCCGGAGUCUCCGAGGUGGCGUUGGGUGGGGGCGCUACUAGCUCCCGUUCUCUCAGCGUCUCUAGAGGGAAGGGCGCCGGUGGGAGCAGGAGAGUCUGCACCGGGCAGGCCUCCUUAGGUGCCGGGUUGCGCGCAGGGCCCUGUGCUUGUCUCGCCUCCGGUUGGCUCAGGCCUCGGAGCAUGAGUGCGCCGGCAACUGCUGGGCCCGGGACAGUGAAGCAGAGGAGGAGGUGGGGGAGGCGAGCCCAGGUCGGGGAAGGGCAGCACCUGAAUCACCCUUGGGGCCCAGACCCCCAAGAGUCUCCGGGGAGCCGAGGCCUGGCGAGGCAGUCCCGGGAUUCGCCCCCUCCCCGCUGGCCCGAGGGCGCACCACGUGCUGGGCAGAGACUUCGGCGAGGCCGAGUGGACCCUGCAGCGCUGCUUGGGAAAGGGCACCUUGGACUACCUGGUGGGGGCGUUGUGCUUCGUUACCGACCGCCGGGACGCCAACCCACGGUGCCCACCCGUGCGUCAUUCCGCUGUGGAUCAGCCCUUUGGCGGCCCCCCUCCAAAGUCUACAAGGUCACACGGAUGUCUGCAGGCAGAGGUGGGAUAGGAGCAUGCCAGGUGCUGCGAGGGUUUAAUCGGGCUCUUCUGCUGGCCUUGAAUAUGGUGGACAGGACAGGACAUUCUCAUUGCUCAGGAGCCACUGGCGCUGCCUUUGGGAAUGAAGUUCCACAGCCCCCCACUCAUUGCUUUGGCUGUCUGCUGCAUUUGAAACUGUACGAGGGUCAGGAAGAAGGCUGCGGGGAUGAAUGGCUCUACCGGCUUGCCACGGAUGGGGAACUGGAGCAGCCAGUGGCCCCAAGAGGAGGAAGGAAGGGAGGCACGGCAGACCCAACACCAGCUGUGCCAGGCUUUGGGGGGUGAACCCAUGAGGCAUCGUCACACACUGACAUUUUCAUCCCUCCUCAGCAGCUGCUUCCGGCUCCCUGAGACCCAGCCAUGGAAGGCAUAGAAAGGCAUGUGACAAGAAACUCAUGGCUUUUAAUCCUGGCAGGACAAGGAAAACCCCGUCAAAGAUUUGCAUAAAUUUUGCUGCUCUCCUGCUGGGGGGGGGGGGGGGGCAGUUCGUCACAUUUAAUAAAAUUCUCUCCCUCCCUUCUCCCGAC
Molecule: long non-coding RNA, 1443 nt
Organism: Homo sapiens (human)
Lineage: Eukaryota; Metazoa; Chordata; Mammalia; Primates; Hominidae
Gene: MPDU1-AS1
Product: MPDU1 antisense RNA 1
Source: Ensembl